UGUUAACUGUAAGACUGUGUCU
RNAcentral lists this microRNA (22 nucleotides) under Aedes aegypti (yellow fever mosquito). RNAcentral's name for it is "aae-miR-999". Its record names the gene aae-miR-999. Lineage: Eukaryota; Metazoa; Arthropoda; Insecta; Diptera; Culicidae. The record is from miRBase by way of RNAcentral. RNAcentral also lists the same sequence under 12 other names.